AUGGCUGUGUGAGUCAGCAUUUAGAAACAAAACUGAAUGUGAUGGUGCCUCUUUCCUGAGGAUAUUAAACCCAUUAUUUUGUUUUGCAGGUCACAAAGGCAGCUUUCAAAGGCCAGAUCUUUCCCAGGGCUUAAGCUGUUCCUUGGAUACUUUUGUAUCAAACCAGAGGUGGCUCUUACUAUGUCGGCCUGAUACCCACCUGACUAGACCAGGGGAGAUUUUUAUUUAAGGGCUGGACCUAGCUGGCCUUGUAUUAUACCCAGAUUUCAAGGUAAGAGGCAUCUAAUUCAACUCUCUUAUUUGACACAUGGGCCAAAUAUAAUCCAAAGACAUAAAGUGGCUUGCCCAGUGUUUCACAAUGACUCAGAGUCAAGCAGGUACUCACAGUCCUGAGGCAGCAUCAUAUUCAGAAUCAUACUGUCUUUAGCUGAAACACACUGAUGAUGGACACAAUGAUUAGUAAAUAGGUAAACAGACAGAUGGAUUUCUUACACAGUAUUUACAGAUGGGUAUAACAAGCUGGUCUGAACAUUGAGGAUUUUGUUGACAAAUCUUGUGAAAAACAGAAUUUGCAAAGUAUUUCCAUCUGGCUGGGUGCAGUGACUCAUGCCUGUAAUCCCAGCACUUUAGGAGGCAGAGAUGGAUGGAUCACCUGAGGUUAGGAGUUCAAGACCAGCCUGACCAACAUGACAAACCACUGUCUCUACUAAAAAUACAAAAAUUAGCCAGGCAUGGUAGUGCAUGCCUGUAAUCCAAGCUACUCAGAAGGCUGAGGCAGGAGAAUCACUUGGACCCAGGGGGCAGAGGUUGCAGUGAGCCAAGAUCGCGCCACUGCACUCCAGCCUGGGAGACAUAGCGAGACUCCAUCUCAAAAAAAAAAAAAAAGAAAAAAGUAUUUCCAUCUGUGGUAAAGUAGCACUCGUACCCAAUAAUAAUUUACAACUUAGCUCAGCAAAUGAUUCAGAGAACAAAGCUCAUCAUUACAGGAAACUACAGUUGUCAGCACUAAUAAAGGUAAUUAACAUUGAUGUUUAAGUUUUUUUGCUUACCGAGUAACAGGCAAGGGAUUUAAAAGAAAUAACUUUAUGAGGAAGUUAACCAGCCGUCCCAUAACUCUGUACUUCGGUUCCAUUGUUUUAAACAUCUUAAUUGCCAGGAAAACUUAAGCACACAAAAUGAAAGAAAUAGAUUGGGAACUCAGGGAGUGUGGUUCGUCAGUUUCCACAGCUUCCUUUUUUCAUUAUAAUACAGUUUCCAUUUUUAAUUAAAUGAAUAAAAUAGCUGUGUUGCCUGUGAGAUUACAUACAAUUGCCAAAUAAAGCUGCAGAC
RNAcentral lists this long non-coding RNA (1329 nucleotides) under Macaca mulatta (Rhesus monkey). RNAcentral describes it as "lncRNA (ENSMMUG00000054986.1)". Lineage: Eukaryota; Metazoa; Chordata; Mammalia; Primates; Cercopithecidae. The record is from RNAcentral.